This 167-nucleotide unclassified non-coding RNA is filed under the name soil metagenome. RNAcentral describes it as "partial internal transcribed spacer 1". The record is from RNAcentral.
CCGAGUUUACAACUCCCAAACCCAUGUGAACAUUACCAACUGUUGCCUCGGCGGGAUCAGCCGCUCCCGGUGCUAAAAGCCCGGACCAGGCCCGCCAGAGGACCACCUAAACUCUUCUGUUCCCUCCGACUAUUCGUACACUCUGAGCUAAAACAUUCAAAUAAUCA